GAGCAACCACAGCUCAAUAGGGACAUGAGAUCUUACCACAAUAGAUUGAUAUAACUAAAUUAAGUGACAUGCAAUCACACAACCAAAUAUCACAUUAAUGUUAAUAAUAAUAAUGAUGCAUGAAUGCUCUUCAAUUCUAAUCCCGUUAAUUCAUAUAACUGGACAAACAGACCUGCACGUCCCAUACCAUGCUUAUACCACUUGGUCCCG
Molecule: long non-coding RNA, 210 nt
Filed under: Prunus persica (peach)
Lineage: Eukaryota; Viridiplantae; Streptophyta; Magnoliopsida; Rosales; Rosaceae
Description: long non-coding RNA (PPER_LNC007239)
Source: RNAcentral